UACGUAGGUGGCAAGCGUUAUCCGGAUUUAUUGGGCGUAAAGGGAACGCAGGCGGUCUUUUAAGUCUGAUGUGAAAGCCUUCGGCUUAACCGGAGUAGUGCAUUGGAAACUGGGAGACUUGAGUGCAGAAGAGGAGAGUGGAACUCCAUGUGUAGCGGUGAAAUGCGUAGAUAUAUGGAAGAACACCAGUGGCGAAGGCGGCUCUCUGGUCUGCAACUGACGCUGAGGCUCGAAAGCAUGGGUAGCGAACAGG
This 253-nucleotide ribosomal RNA is filed under the name uncultured bacterium. RNAcentral's name for it is "partial 16S ribosomal RNA". It matches the Rfam family "Bacterial small subunit ribosomal RNA", at positions 524 to 776 of the family's 1533-position model. The record is from RNAcentral.